GGUGAAUCCAUCCUUUGUUGUGGGUCCUUUGCUUGCUCCUCAGCCUACCAGUACAUUGCAAAUCAUAUUGGGCACGGUUAAAGGUGUGAUUGGAGAGUAUGCAAACAGAAGGUUGGGAUUUGUUCACAUUGAGGAUGUUGUGGGAGCUCAUAUUUUAGUGAUGGAAGAACAAAAAGCUUCAGGUAGAUACAUAUGUUCAAACUCAGUGAGACACAUGUCACAGAUCAAUGACUUGUUAAGGACCAAGUAUCCAUCUUAUCCUCAUGAGAACAAGUGUGGCAACCAAC
Molecule: unclassified non-coding RNA, 287 nt
Filed under: Hevea brasiliensis (rubber tree)
Lineage: Eukaryota; Viridiplantae; Streptophyta; Magnoliopsida; Malpighiales; Euphorbiaceae
Source: RNAcentral